This 1943-nucleotide long non-coding RNA is filed under the name Volvox carteri. RNAcentral's name for it is "long non-coding RNA (VCAR_LNC001938)". Lineage: Eukaryota; Viridiplantae; Chlorophyta; Chlorophyceae; Chlamydomonadales; Volvocaceae. The record is from RNAcentral.
CAGCGGACCCAGCACCGCCAGUGGUGCCGCUUUUGCUUCCGCACCUCCGCGCCGUCGGUUCCGCCAGCGGCGGCGCCGACAGCAGCGACCCCAGCUUACUCACUGACGGCAGUAAGAAUGACGGCAGCGGCGGCGGUUCCAAGAUCCGCCGCGGCGGCCAGCCUGCACGGACCCGUCGCCAUGAGCGCCGUCGCGCCGCGCGGGUGAGCGGCGCCGACGGCGGUGGUGGCGGCGGCGGCGGCGGCCGUCGCAGCAGCGGCGCUGAGUACGCCAGUGUUCACCAAGGCCAUGGUCGGGGCGCUGGCGGCGGCGGUGGUGGCGGUGGUGGUGGCGGCGGCGGCGGCGGCCGCGGCGGGCAGCAGCAGCACGGUCAGCACCAGCCUCAUGGGCCUAGUGGUCUUGGUGCUGGCCAGCACCGCAGCAGCGGGAGCGGCCGCCGCAGCCUGGACGAGCCACACCACCAGCAGCACCCGCCAGCGCCGCAGCAGCAGCAGCCACAUCACCAGCCGCCAGCGGCGAAUGAUCCGACGGUCAAUCCCUUCGCCGUGCUCGCAGGCACUGGUGGUGACAAAAGCGGCGGCAGCAGUCGCCGCGGCUCUGGCGGUGGGUUGCCGCCGCGGCCGCCGACGGCUGACGCCAGCGACAGCGACGGCAGUACCGGCGGUGGUGCUGGCGGCAACGGCGGCGGUGGUGGAUACGGCAGUCGUGCCAGCAGGGGCAGAGGUGGCAAUAAUAUCGCCAGGUGUCAGCUGCCGCCAAUCCAAUCAGGCGAGGUUUCGGAGGUGAGCGUGAUGGCGGCCUUGGCGGCGAUGGGGCUGUCAGCCAAGCCAGGCCUGCCGACGGCGCCGGAGGUGCCCGACGAGACCGGCGGCGGCGGGGGUGGCGGUGGCAAUGGUGUUAGCGGCGCCGCUGCCGCCGCACCCCCUAAUGAAGCUGCGGCUGCAGGCAGUGAUGAUGACGGCGAGGAUGAUGAUGUAGCGGCAGCCGCAGCCGGCGGCGGUGCUCCAGCUGCUGCCGCCGGCGAAGAAGCCCCGAAGAAGCGGAAAACCCGCCGUGGCCGCCGCGGCCGCGGCAGCCGGCGGCAGUCGAAUGCGACGGCGGACGAGGCGAUGACCGCAGCAGUCGUGGCCGCUGCCACCGCUGGUGCAACUGCUAGCGAUGCAGGGAGCGGUGGUAACGGUGGCGGUGGCGCCAUCACAGCGGCCGUUCCUACAGCGGACCCAGCGCCGCCAGUGGUGCCGCUUUUGCUUCCGCACCUCCGCGCCGUCGGUUCCGCCAGCGGCGGCGCCGACAGCAGCGACCCCAGCUUACUCACUGACGGCAGUGAGAGUGAUGGCAGCGGCGGCGGUUCCAAGAUCCGCCGCGGCGGCCAGCCUGCACGGACCCGUCGCCAUGAGCGCCGUCGCGCCGCGCGGGUGAGCGGCGCCGACGGCGGUGGUGGCGGCGGCGGCGGCGGCCGUCGCAGCAGCGGCGCUGAGUACGCCAGUGUUCACCAAGGCCAUGGUCGGGGCGCUGGCGGCGGCGGUGGUGGUGGUGGCGGCGGCGGCGGCGGCGCUGGCGGUCAUUACCACGUGUACGGUGGUGGCCAUCACGGCCAUGCUGAUGAUGCCGCCAGCUCGACAAAUGCGUUAGGGUGCAGAGGUUCGUUAGUACUUCCCCCCCUGGAGGAGCUGCUCGAAUAAGUCAACUGUGCGCAGCAAGGUCAGCCGAUUCUCCCUACUAAUAAGGUGGCGAACAACGCGCCUUGGCACUGCUAAACCGUCUUGCCUUCGAAUAAUAAAAUCUCGUGUCCUGCGGGCGACCUCCCGAAUUCAUAUGCAGAGGUGUCCGCAGCACACCAGGAUAGCCGACACCUGCCCACUCAUGCGAGCCGGACAGAGCCGCACUGGCGCAUUUAGCUGCCUGGGGCCCUCAUGUUCCCCCGCACUCCGCAUCCCGUAGGC